CUGAAAAGAGCUGGCUCUGGUCAAUGUUGGCUGCUCCUGGCUGUUCUUCAGGAGUGCAUGAAGACAGAUGUCAAGUGAAGACAUGGCAAAUAUGGUAUUCCUGGUUCUUUAGCGUGAUGUAGAACAAAAGGCAAAUGAGCUGUGAAUCCUAGGGUGUUUCUCAAGGUUCAGUCCGUAGUCAUCACCUACAUGGCAAGGAAGCUUUUAAGAAAACAGAGCUUAGAAAACUUUUCUUUUUCUAUUUUGUUCUUUUCCUUCUUGUCUUUCAGUGCACUGUUAUUUGCUAGAUAAUUCUCUCUGCUGGUUUCAAGGUGAUCAUUUUGAGGACAUCAAUCUUUCUUUCAACAUCAAUCACACAGUCUAAACCUGGCAAUGACCACUAAAUGUAUGAAACGUUUGGUAACCCUUCUUGGCUUUCUUGACAUUUGGAUGUCUGCAGAUUCAUCCUUCUCCUGAGGGACAGAGCACGGAGGAGGAUCUGAAUUUGUUCAAGGUGGUAGCUGUUAUCCAAGACCAGUAAGGACCUGAUGGCAGCAAGAAUGUCGAGAUACCUAUAGCCAUGCAGAGCUGCCCAUAGAUGACUUGAUUCUUCAUUUUUUGUGUGAAAUUGAAAUUUAUGGAUGUCCUCAGAGCAUGGUGCUCAGGGAAGGUGAGAGAAGGAGCAGCUCUCCUGGACCCAGCCCUUGCAGGGUACCUUGCAGGGUACCGCUGCCUUCUGCUGCACAGAGAGAGAACUAUUUUCAAGCAUGAUGUUGGUAAAGGGAAUUGCUGCAGUACUGUGAUCAGCCAGAUCUUCUCUCAGCUGUAUUGCAUUGAUAGCAAAAUGAUACAAAAUCACUGUCAGAUUGAGAGCCAAGUGCUGCACAGAGCAUCCUUCCUGCUCUCGCAGAGGCACUCUCAUCCUUAGCAUGACGGUUUCAAAAGAUUUUGGGCCAAGCAUUACAACUCUUAAAAAAAAUAAAAAAAAAAAAAAAAAAGUCCCCUUAAUGAAAUUCAGUUUGGAUAUGUCUGUCUAAUGUAAGCCAACUCAGGAUGUGAAGCAAUUAGCACUUCUGUAGAUGUAAUCAUCCACAGCAGUCUGCACUUGGGUAGCUUUAGCCUCAGCUCUUUGGGUGCACCUUUUCUUUUUCUUUAUCCAGAAUGAGAUGUAUCAUUUGACCAUGGGCUGAUCUAAAAUGAAAACUUAGAUUAAGAGCAGUGCCAGUAGUAGUAAAUGGUUACGCUGCAGGAAUCAGAGCCAGCUGAAAAUUAGAAUUUUUGAAAGGGGGGCUGGAGUCUUAAUCUCAACCAGCUCUGGAAAAAUUGCAGCUCUGUUCUCCACAGGGAAGGAGGAGGGGGAAACGUUGAUUCAGAAAACAUGUGCUGCGCUCCACUGUAUAAAUCUGGAUUUCAAAAAUAAACUUUUUUAGCAUGCUUGAAAGUUGUUGCUGACUACUGCCAACUAGAAGAUUUAAUAAAGAGUUUAACUUAGAGCAGCCCAAGCCAGCUCUGCAAACACAUGCCUUCCUGCUGAGAUCAGAACGAAUAUCAGUGCAGUGUGCAAGAGCCAGACUGUACGAGCAGGGCUGUCUGCAUGCAUCCCUCAUCUGACUUCAGUUAUUGUUAUGGCUGGCACAUUUCCAUGGCUGUAAUCAUUGCAGAGUGUGUCCAAAGAUCUGCUCCAAACUCGAUCGUGCUGCUUACAUUUUUCAAUUAUUUUAGUAAGGCUCUUUCAUCUGCAAGCCUAGUCUGUCUGGUGAAUGGACACAUUUACCUUCUCAAUUAUAAAUCUUUUUAUAAUCUCUUGUGCUCUCCUUACAUAUCUUCUACUGUUGGAUUUUUGUACUUCUUGGAGUUCAGCCAAUUGUGAAAAGUCUUUUAACAUACAGACAGCAAAAAUUAUCAGGUUGUGUAAAAAGUCACAUUUUUCAUUAGACCUUUUUGAGCUGCUUUUUGAAAUUUAUGUUUAAUACAAAUAUUCUUGAGUCAGUAUCUUGAUGGGGUAGAUAUGGGAAGGGAGUUGAAAACAGAUUUCUGUUUUCCGCCAAGAGUUCAGCUUUUGUCUAGUGAUGUAUGCUGCUGGGAGAGAACUGACUUGGUGAAGGCAGCACAUCAUGGUCAGACCUCCAGCCAUCUCCCAGAGGGGCUCAGAGUACUGAGAAAUGAGCUGGGCUGGUUCUGGGAGGGGUGCAACAUUGAACAGAGCUGAUUUGGAGGAGACCUGUCAAGCCAUGCUCAAAUGUCUAUAGCCAGAUACGUUGUGAUCAGGGGAAAUCCAGAAAUAAAGAAAGGAGCCUGUUAUACACGUGGCCACGUGAAAAAAAGUUUCAGAAAAUGCCAUUUUUGGCUCUGUUCCUUCACACAAAUACCCCUUUCCAAAGUGCAAGCAGAAGGAAUACAUUUUAUUUUCCAAUAAGUAAGCAGGUUAGAAUGUUGCCAGCUUGUAAAGAAAAGUUGAGGGGAAAGAACACUACCUCGUGAGAUUUGGGGACAGUGGGACCUGGGGACAGAGGGAGUAGUAAGGAGGAGAUUUCUUCUGAGUCCUUUUAAAGGCUGAGUUACAAAACAAAUGCCUCAAAAUGAGAGGCUAUCGGUGAUGGCAUAGGACAGGCAGAAAGACCAGUGGAAUACCAUACUUUGCUACGUGGCAUUACUCUGCUAAGUCGUUGAAUACUCCAAACUGGAAUGAAAGGGUGAUGAUGUUCUUGUCUCAUUACUGAUAUUAAUAAUAUAUUUAUUCAGAGGGAAAACAAAGACUCACAAAGGGCAAACCACUUCUUUGCUCUGUAUGUAGUGUCUCUCGGUCAGCAUGAUGGUAUGAAUCCAGAGAUUGUGUACAGGUCAUAUAUAGACAGCAGGGAAAAAUAUGCACUGAGAAUUGAUGUGUGAAAAGAUCAUUUUUCUACAGUUAAUAAAAC
Long non-coding RNA from Meleagris gallopavo (turkey), 2897 nucleotides. The record is from Ensembl. Lineage: Eukaryota; Metazoa; Chordata; Aves; Galliformes; Phasianidae.